GAUGAACGCUGGCGGCGUGCCUAAUACAUGCAAGUCGAGCGAACGGACGAGAAGCUUGCUUCUCUGAUGUUAGCGGCGGACGGGUGAGUAACACGUGGAUAACCUACCUAUAAGACUGGGAUAACUUCGGGAAACCGUAGCUAAUACCGGAUAAUAUUUUGAACCGCAUGGUUCAAAAGUGAAAGACGGUCUUGCUGUCACUUUUAGAUGGAUCCGCGCUGCAUUAGCUAGUUGGUAAGGUAACGGCUUACCAAGGCAACGAUGCAUAGCCGACCUGAGAGGGUGAUCGGCCACACUGGAACUGAGACACGGUCCAUACUCCUACGGGAGGCAGCAGUAGGGAAUCUUCCGCAAUGGGCGAAAGCCUGACGGAGCAACGCCGCGUGAGUGAUGAAGGUCUUCGGAUCGUAAAACUCUGUUAUUAGGGAAGAACAUAUGUGUAAGUAACUGUGCACAUCUUGACGGUACCUAAUCAGAAAGCCACGGCUAACUACGUG
Molecule: ribosomal RNA, 497 nt
Filed under: uncultured bacterium
Lineage: Bacteria
Description: partial 16S ribosomal RNA
Rfam family: Bacterial small subunit ribosomal RNA
Source: RNAcentral